CGAGAGAGGCUCGCAGCAACGAAAACUGCUAAUUUUCCCGUCCUUGGUUGAACCCCAGGGCUCACUCGGCC
Molecule: transfer RNA, 71 nt
Filed under: Seriola lalandi (yellowtail amberjack)
Lineage: Eukaryota; Metazoa; Chordata; Actinopteri; Carangiformes; Carangidae
Description: tRNA-Ser
Source: RNAcentral